Long non-coding RNA from Felis catus (domestic cat), 6383 nucleotides. RefSeq lists it as uncharacterized. The record is from RefSeq and is a predicted model, not a curated record. Lineage: Eukaryota; Metazoa; Chordata; Mammalia; Carnivora; Felidae. The transcript has 2 exons.
GCAAACACUAAAUGGCAUUUGAGUGCAUUAAGCAGCAAACUCUCCGGUGACAUAGCAAUUAUGACUCUGAAAUAGAUUUGGUGCGUCACAGAAGAUAAGGGUUUUGAAAGUUUCUGUUGUGAUUAUAGCCUGUAACUCCCACAAAUAACAGGCUUCAAAAUAAGAGGCUGCCAGUGGCGCCUUUGUGGCUUUGUCUCAGUGAUGGCACGUAAAUUGCUAUUAAUGUCCUAAGUGUACUUGAAUAUGCCAGUCUUGGGGACGCAGAGUUGGCUCAGUGUCUCUCUCUACAUGGCAUGUCAUUGUUGGUCUGAUAAUCUGGGGUAAUUGCUGUCUCUUGGAUGGUCAGAAAAGUGUAAGGGGCUUUAGCUUCCUGUGUGAUGGUAAAUAGCUUCCAGGUCCACACCGUGCGUGCGUGUGUGUGUGUGUGUGUGUGUGUGUGUGUGUGCGCGCGUGUGUGUGUUCUGUGCACGGCUACCGUUCAUGGUGAAGGUGUGUAUACAAUCUCUGUGUGUGCCCUGAGUAAGUAAAAGCCUUUCAGAAAAGCCAAAGCAAAAUCAGAGGUUACAAAAAUAAAAUGAAGAACUCGGGGCUGUGGAGAAUCAGCCCGUCGGAUAAUUUAUACCGAGAGUUAAAAAAAAAAAAGUGUUUAAAAAUACCCUUUGCUUGCAUUACCCAGAUUUGGCCGUAUGAGUAGAUGCAAUGUUCUGUUGUCUUACACAGCUCCUCUUUUCCAGUAGAAGCAGCAUCUGUGUGUGUGUGCACGUGUGUGCGUGUUCCUGUAUGCAUUCUUCAGGUGUUGUGUUUUCUACGUGCGUAGUGGCUCUAUGUAAAUAUGACAGAGUGUGUCGACAUUUUGCCUGUUGGUGAACACUGUGUGUGGAUGUGUGUUAAGUGUGGAUGUGUGCUGGUUUCUGCAGGUCUGAGCGUAGAGGAUGUUUAUUCAGAUAUAAAUACUUUUCUGCACUGAGGCACCUCUAUUUAGCGAAAUCAAGCUGAACUUAUUUUCCUUGACUCUGCAAAGUUAAAUAAAACAGAUUUUUAACUCCUGAUGUACAUUUAACAUAGGGACUCCGUAAGUCGGUGGGACGUGGAAACGUUAUGUGUCACCGUCCUAUGUGCACUUUUAACAGAAAUAAGAAAGCAACCCAACGGAUGAACUUGGAAACUCACACUACUUCAUCUCCCAUGUGAGCUGUGAAAGGGUCACCCAAAACCAUCCUCUGUGUCUGAAGCGCCUUACAGGACGGUAUUGAUUGCGGGCCUUCACAACAGAUGACUUAAUAAACGAUGAAGCUUAGACGGUGCCAUCAUAGGUCUUGAUCUCAGAGUCGACCUCCAUGUGCACUUGAGUCGUGUGGUGCAGGGUGCUGGCAGGGUGGCGCCCGGUGACCAUGUGGCAGUCGAUGGUCUUGUGGUUGGGUUUUGACGGGCACCCCUCGGGCAGCAGUUAGAGUGUGUGCGAGAUAAGGUUGGAGGCAGCGACUGGUCAUGGAGAGUCCGUGCUCCUCCCAGGUCGAUGGCCACCAAAUUUACUCCACAGGUCUUCGAGCAGGACCCCGCCUUUCCGGAUAAGAUGACUUAAUAUUAACUAGCAAGAUGGCGCUACCCACAGUGGCAUAACCCCAGGGCAGUAGAGCUUGUCUUGUCCAAAACCAAGUUUGGUGAGGUGGACUGAGGCUUAGGAGUGAGCGGUAUCAGAAUCCCCUAAAAGACUCUUUUGAGGCCAUCUUGUGGCUCAUAGGUUCCGGCAUCGUCCUAAACAGCACAAAGAUUCCCUGAAGGGGAACCACAGACACGAAUCCCCUGCCUUCAGCCCUAAGCCACGCUUCGCGUGUGGUGCCCACACGUGUCACACAGCCCGACCUUUUCAAAUUUGAAGUGUCUAAAAUAGCGGCACAGAGCGGGGACUGCGUUUGGCAAAUUCUAGUUUCUGAGUCCUAGUUUCCUCACCUCACAAGUAGGAAUAGGAGCCCCCGCAGGGUUUGUGUACCAUUUGAGACUCAUCCACCAGAGCAAGAGAAUCGCUACCACAAUCCGUGCGUUACUGUGCAGUUAUCACGGACACCGGCGGCCCGACGGCCUUGCACGCACAGGGCAGGCCGCCAACGGAAGCUUUCAAAGCAUUCGUUUCUCUGUUCAUCCAACUCGAGGACUUAACCAGGCGGCUCCCGGUGAGACGUGAUCCCUGUUCUCUGAGGCCCUGUGGCUGAAUGAUCUGUGAUCUCGUUGAGACUGAAGACGAACGCCAUUCAUAUGGCCUGCAAGCCUUGGCAUGAUGGAGCCCUGCCACUCUCCGGCCCCAUCUUGCUGCCGUGGCUGCUCUUCUCCUGGUUCCAUUGCUUCUGGCCUCCUCUCAGUUCCGUGGAGCCUUGGGAAAGGAUUCUCUCUCUGCCCAGUGGCCUCUUUGCCCCUCUUUCUACUUGUCUGUAUCCGCUCACCUCUGGGCUGACUUCCCAGAAGCCUGAGUGCAAUGAGGUCCCUACUAUAUUCUCUCCUCGCACUCACUACCACCUAGAAUCUACGUUUGUCCUUUUGACAAGUUAUCCAAUGUCUGUGUCCCACGAGGCAGGACACAUGAGGUGUGUCCCACGAGGUGGGACAAUGUCUGUGUCCCACGAGGCAGCGGGAGAGCAGAUGUCAGAUGUGUCGUAUCUACCACUGUAUGCCCGGUGCGUAGCACGGGGCAGGCACUGGAGACGUAUUUGUGGAUCAGAAUGAAAUGGUGACCUUGAGGAAGAGCCGGUACUCACAUAGACCUUUAAAUAAAUAAGAGCUGCAUAUGGUUAAAAGUCAACAUGAAGGGUCAGAAAGUCGGGGGUCCUGGCAUUUAGGGAAGUGGGUGAUGGUGUGCCUUGAAAGAGGAAGGAGGUGGCUCUCUGGCCAGGCCGUGGAAGAUGACGCGGGUUUCUAGAGGCCAGAGGACAGGGGCGGGCAAAGGCCAAGAGCCUCUCACUGGACUUCAUCUGUAGAGCAACAGGGACCCUCACUUGGGCAGUGGGCGAUCUGUUAUUCAGCCGAAACUACUGAAGUCUCGGUUAGCAAGGGUAUCUGUUCUCUACCAGGAACGGCUGAUUUGUCUUAACAUAUACAGACCUUUCAGGGCAAAAUCUCGAGGCUCGAGAAACUGCGGUGGGGCCUGCCUAGAAAGGGAGGGCAUGGUGGGACCCGGCUGGAAGGUCACCAGGGACUGACCGAGUGGCAGGUGGCAACCAGGGAGGACACCCUCCGCGGUCAGGGGACCAUGGAAACAGGGAUUCUGGGGCCAGCAGCAUGGGGAUAAUCCAAGCAGAGGGUUGACUCCGGGGAAACAUGAUGGCAGGUGGGAGUUGGUGAGCUGAGGCUCCAGAGCAAGCUUCGAGUUGCAAGAGCAAGUCACGAUCUCGGUCUUAGCCGAGCUGGCAGAAAUAGCGGGAAUUUACGCGGAAGCUGGCCGUGGAUUUGGCAGAGGUGGCUUUAGCCGCAGAAGAGAAGUACCUGCGCAAAGAAGCAGGUGCAAGAGGUCAGAGCAGGACAAGCAGCAAAAUUGAUUCUGAGUUGCCUGGGGUACCCGGGUGAGCCAGAAUGGAAUCUUUUGGGUUGAGUGUACCUGUUAUUCCCCAGCAGGGAUGCCCAGAUCUAGUGAGUGUAGACACUGCACGGGACAGAUGUACACUAAACAGUUACUUGUUGUUUAUCCCGGCUUUGGGAGGCGUCCUCCUCCAUUUUCUCUGGCGGCUCCAUUCCCAGACCCCAAGGUGGUAGAAGCUGGAUCUGCAUGGGAGUCUCAGCCUCAGAGAGGAUAAAGAUGGGAAAAGCCCCUGCAGGCCACACAGGGACUGUGUCUGUUCCGUACAUUUCCGUGAACCCCACUAAGCCGGAGGAGGCAACGGGGAGGCCAGUCCAGAUGCCAGGCCCUCCCCGUGCCCUUUGGAGAACAGCCCUUGUUGACAUGGUGAGCUAAGCUGUGGAGCCACGACAGGCAGGAUCCAGUGUCUGGGUUUGUUGUUGUUUUUUUUUCCAACUGUUUUUUAAAGGAACAGUACAGAACAGUAUGAAUAUUAAUCAUAUAGUUCCUUAUUUGGGAUCUGGGGUGAAAUACCAGAUCUCCUUGAUGUCUGCUGAGUAAGAGAAGAGUUCACUUCCUGGAUGCAGACAUCACCCUGCAACCUGGCACUGCCUCUGCCUUAUCGCUUGAGUAGCUUCUCGGCGCUCACAAGCUCUUUCCUUGUAGUCAGACUAAACCGCGGAGGUCCCGGAUCUGCUACCGUGGAUCCCUCCAAGCCCACAAUGGAGAAGGAACGUUGGAGUGCCUGCCGUUGAACGUUUAUGUGCUUCUUCGUAGGCCCCUCCAAGAGAUAUUUAUUAAAGUCUGUGCUGUGGCAGGCACUGUGACAGGCACUUCGGAAGCAAAGUUCCACAGCCCAGCCGUCGUGGUCUGAUGAGUGAGGCAGACAUAUAGAAGAACACAUGCAAUAUGGCCGCCCGGGUACUGUGAUACAGGUGCAUACAGAGAACGUGGGCGGGGGGUGGGGGGGAACCCGCAGGAGGAAGAGACAUUGCCGGGGGCAGAUAGGGGCACAAGGAUACUUAACUUCAGUCUUGAAGAACAGUACAAGGUGUGAGUGGCAUGUCAUUGGAUAAUUGGGGUCUUCAAGGGGAAAGAAGCAGGCAUGAACUGACUCCUCUGUUCCGGGAAUUUCUUAGCAGCCUGCUAACGGUUGAAGUAUGAAACACAAGGGUUGCGUUGGAGAGUGAGCAAGAUCAAGGACAUUGUGGGCCUGAUGAGGACACUCAACCUCAUCUGGAGGCUAAUGAGAAGCCACUGAAGGUGAAAGAGGGAGAUCACAAUUACAUGUUGGGAAGAUCACUCUGGGGGCAGCUGGAGGGAGGACCAGAGGUUGUCAGAGUGGGCCGGCACCUACUAACCGUUGUCAGACUUUCCGGGGAAACUUUGACUGUUUUGUCCCCAAGGGCAAAUGCUCGGGGUAUAAUCUUGGGAAAAGUGUGCGCAUAUCAGGAAAACAUUGUUCUUCGAGCUUCUUGGAAAAGUGGUCGAUCUAGGAUGUGGCCCCGCCUAGUGAGCCAACAUCCCUGCUGAUGAGUGGUGGCUAUGUGUGUUUGUCUGUGCAUGCCUGUCCGCAUGGAGAGGGAGCACACAUCCCCGUUUCUUUUGUUUUUCUUCUGGCCGGCCCCACCAGUGCCGGGCCUUUGGGGGCCUGGAGCACGUCCGCCUCCCCACCCACGCCGAAGGCAUCUCUGGUAAUGGCAUCUGGCCCAUAUGCACAUCGAGCUCUCCUUGGUGCUGACAUCAGCCAGUUUGUGGCACCUCAGCGUAUUUCUGGGUUGCAAAUGAGAGUUUCUUAGUGCCAGGCUUCGCUCGGGCUGUCACAUCAGGUGAUGAAUUCUCUGCAUCAACGGUGUGCUGCUAAGGAGGUUCCAUGAUGAGCCCGCUGCUGGCUUAGGCCUCAUCUGGUGGAAUUAAAUGUGAGAUCAGGCCCCGCUUCCAGGCCACAGGCCGCAGAAUUUCCUGUACGACUAGCUGCGAAUGUAAAGGCUCCUGCAGGAGGCAUGUUCCUAGAGAUAACAAGGGCACACUUGGUUUUGCAGAUUUCACCUUCCCACCCCCGUGAGGCCUCAGUGCGUUUCCGACAUCAGCAUUUUGAAGGGAGUGUGUCUGUUCUAAAGGGAGGUUUGCAUCCGAAGAUGAGCGAAGGCGGAAGUUGGGGCGCAGAAGAAAAAUCAGGAGGAAAGUCUUAUUUCUUGCCACCCCCCGCCCCCACGGUCGCUAAUGAGACCAUCCUCCCUGCUCCCUGCGCCCGCCCCAGAGAUAAAUAAACACACAAAGGCGGAGUUUCCUACUUAAUAUGCACCCGCAGUCAGGAACCGGGAAGGAAUUGCUCCCCAGGGUUAACGUGGCAGUAAGCGAGGUCAGCUGUUUCCCAAGACGGAGCAGCCUCUGGACGGCUUGCAUUAAGGCUGGAACAGCGCCGCCGAAGCAGCCAGAGUGAUUUACGGGAAACCUGGCGAAGUUGGGCUUGCUCGCAGUUUCUGAUCACGGAGGUUUUAGCGGGGGGCGCGGGGGUGGGGGGAGUAGUUACAGGAAUACAGGACUUCAGUGUUAAUGCUGAGGGGCCCCGGGCACAAGGCGAUAGCUGGCCGCCCGAUCUGAAGUUGUGUGUGUCUGCGUGUGUGUUUAUGGAUAGAGGGGGAGUGAAAGAAAAGAGAUUGAUUUUAUUUAUUUUUAAGAGGUCUUAUAUAUUCUUCCUCACCGGGCCAGCUAGGAUAAUUAAGAUGCCAGUUUUGGUAUCAGCUUGAACUGAUUCCUGUCUCUACCAUCUGUGAGUUUCCUGUACCCUCUGGCAUCGUGUGCGCUGGUCCGAGAAAACAAAACUUUUUCAAACGUC